UACGUAGGGGGCUAGCGUUGUCCGGAUUUAUUGGGCGUAAAGAGCGCGUAGGCGGCCGAGUAAGUCCGACGUGAAAUCUGGAGGCUCAACCUCCAGCGGUCGUUGGAAACUACUCGGCUAGAGUCCGGAAGAGGAGAGUGGAAUUCCUGGUGUAGCGGUGAAAUGCGCAGAUAUCAGGAAGAACACCGAUGGCGAAGGCGACCUCCUGGCCUGUUCUUGACGCUGAGGCGCGAAAGCUAGGGUAGCAAACGGG
RNAcentral lists this ribosomal RNA (253 nucleotides) under uncultured bacterium. RNAcentral's name for it is "partial 16S ribosomal RNA". It matches the Rfam family "Bacterial small subunit ribosomal RNA", at positions 524 to 776 of the family's 1533-position model. The record is from RNAcentral.